This 125-nucleotide small RNA is filed under the name Marmota monax (woodchuck). Lineage: Eukaryota; Metazoa; Chordata; Mammalia; Rodentia; Sciuridae. The record is from RNAcentral.
GCUGGGUGCAGUGGCAUAUGCCUGUAAUCCCAGCAGCUUGGGAGGCUGAGGCAGGAGGAUCAAGAGUUCAAAUCCAGCCUCAGCCAAAGCGAGGCCCUAAGCAGCUCAGGGAGACCCUGUCUCUA